Long non-coding RNA from Penaeus indicus, 710 nucleotides. RefSeq lists it as uncharacterized. Lineage: Eukaryota; Metazoa; Arthropoda; Malacostraca; Decapoda; Penaeidae. The record is from RefSeq and is a predicted model, not a curated record. The transcript is spliced from 4 exons.
CGGCACCCUGGCUCUCACGUGCAUCAGCGGCACCUGCCAGCCCCCGGACUGCAACGCGCUCACGGCCGGACCUCAUCCGCGAUGCUACCUAGACUCGGACUCGGAGCUCUACCAGUGUAAUUACACCGGAAGCAUCAGUUCUGUGAUAUCCGAGUUAAUCAACCAUCAGAAUUUCCCUUUCUCUAGUGACACAACGGAGGACGUACCAGGUUGUUGUGACAAUGGACGAGUCUUAUGCCACGAGUUCCCGCUGCGCUGUGUAGACCGGGAAAAGGUGUGUGAUAAGAACUACGAUUGCAUCACCGGCGAAGACGAGCAUUAUAACACAUGUGAUAACAGAGUGUGUCGCGAGGACGAAUUUCGCUGUACGUCAGGCCAGUGCAUUCCUCAGCACCAACGAUGUGAUACACGGAAAGACUGCGUGGACGAGUCGGACGAAACGGAUUGUUCUCAGGUCAAAUGCAACUUUUCACCAGCCUUCCAGUGCACAUCAGGUCAAUGUGUUCCUAAUGUUUACCAAUGCGAUGGUUCUGAGCAGUGUGUUGACGGCAGUGACGAGCUGGGCUGCGCUUAAGUGUGAUAUCGCUCAUGUUUUCUUGUUUUCAACAGCUAGGUAGCACGAUUUAUCAUUUCGCAUGUUCGUUUAUUUAGGCCGCCGUGAAUGAAGAACUCUUUGAACGUCUUUCAGCUUUUAUCAGUGCUAUUAUCAU